Molecule: non-coding RNA, 307 nt
Organism: Zootermopsis nevadensis
Lineage: Eukaryota; Metazoa; Arthropoda; Insecta; Blattodea; Termopsidae
Source: RefSeq, a predicted model, not a curated record
CGACGACACGUCUCCCGUGAUGGACGGUGGCUCCACACCGCUGAUGGCGUCGCUAGAAGCGCAAGAUAACUGAAAGCAAUUAAUACGCGAGAACAGUAUUACCCACGUGCACGCCAAAGGACUCGUGUAGACUAUAAAGAAUGAUGUUUAUGUCCGACAAGGAACUGUCACAGUUCUCUCCAGGAGUAAACGAAUGCAAAUUCAGCUGAAUCAGAAGUGCACAUCGGACAAGCAUUGGCUUCAAUGUAGCGGCUUCAAACUUUACCACAAACAUUAAAAAUUAUUUACGUUACAGGCCAAUGUUAAA